Molecule: long non-coding RNA, 255 nt
Filed under: Elaeis guineensis (African oil palm)
Lineage: Eukaryota; Viridiplantae; Streptophyta; Magnoliopsida; Arecales; Arecaceae
Description: long non-coding RNA (EGUI_LNC009852)
Source: RNAcentral
GCCCUUCAAACUUUGCUAGAUGAAUUUAUCGAACUUAUUUAAUAUAUUAAAAAUAUAAUUAAUUUUUAUUCAAUAAAUUCAAUCAUAAAAAAAAAUUGUAAAUUGGGUGGUCUGUUCGAUAGGUUAUCCAGACAAUAGGACAAUUCAAUAUCUCCUAGUCAAGGAUCAGAUCUAAAUGACUCGAUCAAGAAAUCAUGAAGCAUGAAUUAGAAUCAAGGCCAAGAUCGAUCAACAGAUUCAUCAAUAGCAGAUUUC